This is a non-coding RNA of Pan troglodytes (chimpanzee), 148 nucleotides long. It matches the Rfam family "Metazoan signal recognition particle RNA". Rfam says of the family: The signal recognition particle (SRP) is a universally conserved ribonucleoprotein. It is involved in the co-translational targeting of proteins to membranes. Lineage: Eukaryota; Metazoa; Chordata; Mammalia; Primates; Hominidae. The record is from Rfam.
GCCAGGCAUGGUGGCAGGUGCCUGUAAUCCCAGUUACUCCGGAGGCUGAGGCAGGAGAAUUGCUUGAGCCCGGGAGGCGGAGGUUGCAGUGAGCCUAGAUGGAGCCACUGCACUCCCGCCCAGGCAACAGAGCAAGACUUUGUCUCAA